RNAcentral lists this ribosomal RNA (391 nucleotides) under uncultured bacterium. RNAcentral describes it as "bacterial SSU rRNA". It matches the Rfam family "Bacterial small subunit ribosomal RNA", at positions 28 to 417 of the family's 1533-position model. The record is from RNAcentral.
GACGAACGCUGGCGGCGUGCUUAACACAUGCAAGUCGAGCGGUAAGGCCCUUUCGGGGGGUACACGAGCGGCGAACGGGUGAGUAACACGUGGGUGACCUGCCCUCAGCUCUGGGAUAAGCCUGGGAAGCCGGGUCUAAUACUGGAUAUGACUCCAUGACGCAUGUUGUGGGGUGGAAAGCCUUGUGCGGCUGAGGAUGGGCCCGCGGCCUAUCAGCUUGUUGGUGGGGGUGAUGGCCUACCAAGGCGACGACGGGUAGCCGGCCUGAGAGGGCGACCGGCCACACUGGGACUGAGACACGGCCCAGACUCCUACGGGAGGGCAGCAGUGGGGAAUCUUGCGCAAUGGGCGAAAGCCUGACGCAGCGACGCCGCGUGAGGGAUGACGGCCU